GGUGGGAGACUGUGAAGCGGCCACGCCAGUGGCGGUGGAGUCAACGUUGAAAUACCACUCUGGUCGUACUGGACAUCUAACCUAGGACCGUGAUCCGGUUCAGGGACAGUGCCUGGUGGGUAGUUUAACUGGGGCGGUUGCCUCCUAAAGAGUAACGGAGGCGCCCAAAGGUUCCCUCAGCCUGGUUGGCAAUCAGGUUUUGAGUGUAAGUGCACAAGGGAGCUUGACUGUGAGACAGACAUGUCGAGCAGGGACGAAAGUCGGGACUAGUGAUCCGGCACCUCAUUGUGGAAUGGGUGUCGCUCAACGGAUAAAAGGUACCCCGGGGAUAACAGGCUGAUCUUGCCCAAGAGUCCAUAUCGACGGCAUGGUUUGGCACCUCGAUGUCGGCUCCUCGCAUCCUGGGGCGGGAGUACGUCCCAAGGGGU
Molecule: ribosomal RNA, 428 nt
Filed under: Diacronema lutheri
Lineage: Eukaryota; Haptophyta; Pavlovophyceae; Pavlovales; Pavlovaceae
Description: partial Bacterial large subunit ribosomal RNA
Rfam family: Bacterial large subunit ribosomal RNA
Source: RNAcentral